AGUAACGGAAGGGGGGGGGUGCAAAUCACCUGAUAUACCUGCUGAGGUUUUUUUUUUUUUUUUUUUUUUUUAAGCUGUGCGGGAGGAACUGGUAAAUAACUUGAUAUGAUAUUGGGUAGCUAUGUUCUUGUAUCAGGUGUCACUACAGCUAUAGUACAGUCACCUUUUAUAUCUGAGAACUAGCUAGUAGUAUUCACUUUACUUGGAUACAGACCCAGACGUACUGUAGUUGCACUGAGUUACACCCUUAAUGGUGACAUUUUAUCAUUUAUGUAAGAAUACCUGUAAGAAUCAGUACAAGAUUUCACUGAGACUUUUUUUUUGGUGAUUUGUUGCAACCAAAAAUGCUUGAUCUUGCUGCGGCUAUUUUCAUGCUUUAAAAUUUAUUAUUAUAUUUUUUUUAAUAGGGAAACUACUUGAAUUGGAGAAAGUGUACUUGCAUUCGAUUGUCUUUCGCAGCGAUGUUUGUUGGUAAAUGAGAGCUUUUAGCUGUGCUCAUGUUCGACAGACGUGACUCGAAGAGGGCUUUGGCUGAACGUGUGUUGUGACGAGGUCACGUGACGUGUCUUGCCCCAAAUCUGUAGGAAAUCUGCUGUAAGUGCCAAAAAAAAAAAAACCAACAAAUUCAUGCAAAAGUUGCAAGCGCCUCCGAAUAUUGCUGCGUUUGCUCGAUUUUGUUAAUUUCUACAACUGCAAAAUCCUUGAUUAUUUGUAUUUGAGACCCGUUUUUGCUAUAAAGUAUGACGUAUCACAGCUCACAGUAGCACAUGCCUGGUUAACGAGCUAUAAUAACUGUAGUAUGCUAGUUCAACACUCUAAGUAUUGCUUUUGACAGGCUUUAUUGUGUUAGAAAGCUUUUAUCUGCUUUCUGCCUGUUAAUGUGAACUGAAAAGACGUCGGAGAAGGUUUUAGACACAAAUCCCCGUUACUAUUAUCAAAACACCAACGGAGAGAAAAUAUUUUCAAGGAACAAAAUUUAGUUCAGGGCUCCAGUACAGUUCGAGGAGCAUUGAAGCUGUGUUGGCCAAACACAUUAUUAACACAGUUGAUGGUGGUUUUUCCUUUCGUUUUGUAACCAUUGGCGUUCCAGAAGUGAAUCAACACCAUACUGCUCUCCAUAGAGAGCAGAGACUUUGAGUAAUAAUGGAGACGCCUAAAAUGUCCAUGCUUAAUUACUUUCAUGAAAGGAAAUGGGUGUGGUGUCAGGCUUUCAAGACUUGGAAUGAAUAUCUGUUCAAAAGCCUGCCAAAUGAAUACUCAAGAAAAAUAACGUAUACAGUGUAUGCAAUGUUAUGAAAUCUUUAGCUAGAAUGGAUAAACUAUUUACAGAGCUGGUGCAAAAUUUGAGGGCUUGCUUCACGAGGUGUAACAUUAUAGGAAAUUGAUCAAUGAGGGCUUGCUUCACGAGGUGUAACAUUAUAGGAAAUUGAUCAAUGAUAUGGUUGACCUUAGGUUGUAACAGCUGUACACUGUCGUUCCUUCACCAGCCCUUUUUCUUCUCUUUCGAGUUUAAAUGUCAACUACAGACGUGUUACAGAGAAACCACAUGCACAGAGUAAAUGUUCAAAUUAUUGGCAACUUGCUGUGACGUAAUGAGAAUAAAACACUCCGGGACAUGCUGUUAUGGAUAAAUAAUCAAUCAUGGGGUGGUCACAGUAACUCUGCUUUUUUUUUUUUUUUUUUUUUAUAAAUCUGCAGGGUUGAUUGUUUUCCUAUAAGAGCACACAGUCACGUGUUUGAGUCUUUAUGAUUCAGGAAUAACAUCUAAUAUCUAGCUUUAGAGGUUGUAAGCGAGGUAGAAUCCAGUCUUUUAAAAAGAACUGCACCAACUGACCGAAAACAAGUGCAACCUCCAACUCGAGAAGUAUUGGCACCCUUCGUUUCAAGUGAUUUGAAACUCACGCAAGUUCUCUUUAGCCCAAGACGUGCUCGGUGUCUGAAGUCUGUUUCUUUAGUUGUGUGUCUCGCUAAGAAAUGUCGGAAACCCGCUGCCGUACCGGUAUGCUAAUUUUAUUCAAGUUUCCGAUUAUAUGUCGAACGAAGGAAGUAGAUAGUGUUGAA
Molecule: long non-coding RNA, 2061 nt
Organism: Ictalurus punctatus (channel catfish)
Lineage: Eukaryota; Metazoa; Chordata; Actinopteri; Siluriformes; Ictaluridae
Source: Ensembl